AGGGGAUAACAGUUGAAACGACUGCUAAUACCCCAUACUCCUUUUACAUUAAUUGUAAUUGGGAAAUGUUUUUUCGCUAAAGGAUGAGACUAUAUGGUAUCAGGUAGUUGGUGGGGUAAGAGCCUACCAAGCCAAUGACGCCUAGCUGGUCUGAGAGGAUGAUCAGCCACACUGGAACUGAGACACGGUCCAG
RNAcentral lists this ribosomal RNA (193 nucleotides) under uncultured bacterium. RNAcentral's name for it is "partial 16S ribosomal RNA". It matches the Rfam family "Bacterial small subunit ribosomal RNA", at positions 138 to 334 of the family's 1533-position model. The record is from RNAcentral.